Mycena vitilis is the source of this 92-nucleotide non-coding RNA. NCBI's taxonomy places the organism in Eukaryota, Fungi, Basidiomycota, Agaricomycetes, Agaricales, Mycenaceae. The record is from the annotation of a GenBank genome assembly.
GGCCGCCUGGCGAAAUGGCAUCGCGUCUGACUACGACCUUUUCUGGGGUAAUGGCGAUCAGGAGAUUGUAGGUUCGAUCCCUACGGUGGUCA